Molecule: non-coding RNA, 388 nt
Organism: Paramuricea clavata
Lineage: Eukaryota; Metazoa; Cnidaria; Anthozoa; Malacalcyonacea; Plexauridae
Source: the annotation of a GenBank genome assembly
UAAUUACGUAAUAUCAAUACAGAUCAUAUUAAACGGGUGAUUAAUCAUGGUCAGAGUCAUUUUCGCUUUUCCCUCGCCUCGCCUGCCUCAAACCGCCAGGUUACCCAGGCAGCUCCUUCGAUGAUCAGGUUUGUGAUUGGUUAAUACUCGCUCCCAUACGUCUUUGCAAACCGAGUCGAACAGAUCAGAUCAUCAGUGAGACAGUGAGAGAUGCCCAGAAUCACUAAUCAACGAAGUUUGAAAAACCCAAACAAAGGCGGUAAGUUUCUUUUGAAUUUUAAACACUGUUUGAAAUCUAGGCGGUAAGUUUCUUUGAACCCUAAUGAGGUAAAUGAAUUUGUUAAGCAUACAGAUACCGAGACACGAUACAGUAUGUAACCUUGCUGGC